RNAcentral lists this long non-coding RNA (2939 nucleotides) under Capsicum annuum. RNAcentral's name for it is "long non-coding RNA (CANN_LNC008425)". The record is from RNAcentral. Lineage: Eukaryota; Viridiplantae; Streptophyta; Magnoliopsida; Solanales; Solanaceae.
UUUAUAGGAUAUUUAACCAAGUAUAAACAAAUGAAAAGCUAAUAAACACUAAAAAGGGGAUAGGGGAGAAAGUAAAAGACUUAGGUCAUUCGGCCCAAAUCAAUGAACCCUGUCCUUAUCUAAUUGGGCUUUCAACCCAUUUUUCACUAGUCCUAAUCUAUGUUUUCAAACCUUUGGCUCGAAUUUGCUUCACUUGUAUUAAAAAGAACUUUGGCUUUGAGGCCCAUAUAAAUACAUAAAUAAAGCAAGAAUAAGAUUGAAACUUUUCGGUCUUCUGGCAAUCUUAUCAACGAGCUUGAACAUGUCUUGCCUUCUACCAUCUUUACUCAUACGACAGGUAGUGCCCCCUUUCGAACCAUCUUUUGAAAUCUUCAAAAGGAUGGGCCUCAAUGGCCCGUUACAAAAUGCAAGGAGGAAAAAGUCCAUUUGGACUCCAACGCAGGUUCAUGCAAAAAAAAAAAAGAUGAAGGGAGAUUAGUGCGCACCCAAAACAUAUAUAAAAUGCACAAGUGUAAAGGAAAAUAAGCAUUUGACUUCAAAAGAGAAAGAACCAAUUUUUUGUAUUCUACAGCUAGAGAACAAAAAUGGAAAUGGGCAAAAAAGAAAAAAGUAAAUUGACUUCAACGAAUAAACAGGAAGAAGUUUGAAAUCAAUUUUAUAGACCCGAAUAAGUAGAAGUAACGAUGAUUUAAGUGUAUUAAAUUAUAAUCAAACAUUUAGGACAAUAACAAGAAAAAUAAGAUACAUUACCUUUCCCUCAAAGUUUCAUCAACCCUUUCUCGGUACAACUGAGGAAAAGCUUAAAAAACACAUAUAUAAACUUAAAAAGAUGACCAAGAUAUCAAGGAAACAAAAUACAUCAUAUUGUAAAAAAAAUAGUUUUGAGGUGAAGUCAGACAUACAUAGAAUUAUGAAAUGCCCAAACAAUUCAACCCAAUGAUGGAACAAUCAAAGACUCAGCGAAGCUCCUUAUUCACAAGACCUUUUCAUCCUUCCUUUAAAAAGUUAAAGAGAUUCACUUCCAAAAUUCAAUAAAAGAGCUUAAAGAUCACUUAAUAUCAAUAUAACAUUCCUUUUGAAAAAUAAUAAUAAUUUCGAAGACUAUUCAAAUUUAACACAUAGGAGGAAAUUAGCAAUGAAUUUAAUCCAGGGCUAAAGGGUUGCGUGAUACUUUUUAAGGUGUAGCUUUGGCAUAGAGACUUAUUUCAUUCUGUUCCUCUCUUGAGUUGGUCCAAUAGAACCUCACACACCAAGAAAGUCAUAGAGGGAUCUUUGAAUGAAAUAUCCCCAUUCUAUAAACCCACUCCACCAUUCUCAUCUACAUUGUGAGUAAAGAAAAUUCAGAGGAGGCUCUAACACACUUGGAGAGAACAAAACAAUCUAAGCAACUACCAAGAGCAAAAUGAAGGAUUCUAAAAGGCUUUUAGGCCGGAACCAUAAAACAAAAAGGGCUAAACAAAUGAGCAUCAUAUAUAUGUAAAAGAAAAUAGAACAUCAACUAAAAAAACCAUUAUGAAAUAGAGGUGACUUCGUAUUUAAGUCCAGCCCUUAUAUGAAAUAGGUUCCAAAACUGAAGCAACAAACUAUCUUCACAUACACCAUAGCCUUUUCCAUCUUAAAGUUUUUAUAACAACUAACUCUCCCUGAAUAAAAUAAACAAUAGACCUAGAGCACAGUUUUCUUGACAAGUAAAACAUCUAUCCAAAUUACCAUACAUAUUCUAACAAAUUGAAGCUUGUAACAUGGAGCAAAUGCUUCAGGGAGAUUCUAUAUAUUAUAAAUAAUUCACAUCAAGGAGAUUUUCCAAUUACUAACCACCAAUAUAUGAAGCAUUACAGACAACAAGCACAAAGCAGGCAGGAUAUAAUAGACUUGGCAAUGAAAACCACUUCAUAAUGGCGCAGAACAAUGGCAGCGAGCACAUCAAUUAGAAUAACAACCAUCACUAACAAAACCUAUGACUAUCAAAGCCAUCUAGAAUAUUCAAUUCCAGCACACCAGGUAUCAAACGACCAUAAAAGUCAUCUACAACAGUCAAUCCCAGCAUAUCAUUAUAACUACUAAUAAGAUAUCAAAAAAAUAAGAAAAGAAUGUCAAAACUAAAAGGGUGAAAGGUUACCUAUUUAGAAGCAUCAAAAUGGGGAUUAAUUCUUCGAUGGAACUUCUACCACCACCGGAAAAGGCUCUACAACUCAGAGAAAACUUUGCGUAAAUGAGAACUUAUCACGAAAAAGUUGUUUUUACUGGAAAAAUAGACUUUUUUCUCAAAAAAACUUUCAACCUUCUCCGACUUCCAUGUUUUUUUUAUCAAGAAUCCCUUUUUAUAGAAGGGAAUUUGGAUUCACAUUUAUGCUCCAACCAAUGUUGGAGAGAUAAUUUUUGGGGUUAAUUCUGGGAUUUCAAAGGGGAAAAUUCAAACUUUGAAUAGGGAUAAGGGGAUGUGCUGUAAAAUUGUUUGAAAAUCGUACAAUUUUGAAAUAGUUGGAUGCAGAGUUGUUGAGGUCGUAUGAUUCCUCAUCACUGGAAUCGCGGGUUGGAGCUGGGUCAGGUUUGAGGUAUUGGGGUUUGCUAGUUGUUGUUCGAAUUGAUGUUGGGUUGAGUUUUUCGUCGGGUCGGGGGUUUGAUCGGAGUUGGGUCAACGAUAUUGAUGGUGUUUGUUGUUGACCGAUGUUGCUGUUUUGUUGGGUUUUUCCAUUUUUGUGCUUAUGGUCGCUGUUAAUAUGUACUGAAUUGUUGAUAGGUAAAGAAGAAAGAAAUGGGCUGGCAGGUCAGGUCAAUUGGGCUUAGACUAAGAGUUGAGCCAUUAGUUAUGGUGGGCUGCUGAUGGGGUUUUAAUUGGAUAGAUUAGGUUUUAGGAUUUUUUAAAAACUAACCCCAAUUAGACUAGGGGUUCAAAAAUUAGUUUCAAUUAGGAAUUAAUCAAUUCUACUUAAAUGACA